RNAcentral lists this small RNA (29 nucleotides) under Bombyx mori (domestic silkworm). RNAcentral describes it as "ovarian small RNA-18918". Lineage: Eukaryota; Metazoa; Arthropoda; Insecta; Lepidoptera; Bombycidae. The record is from RNAcentral.
UAACGUUAUCGAAUGAUAUUUGUAUGAGA